UUUCCAUCUGUUAGGAUUUCCCAUCAGCUUUAAGAUCUUUCUUUAAUAUUUUUUUUGUACAGGUCUGAUGAUGACAACUGCCUUUAAGUUUUGUUUAUCUAAUAUUGGAGUGAACGAAGCCCUCCCCAAACCCCCAACUUAGUCUGUUAGGUGACAACAUGGCAAAGAGCUCUCAUCUGUUAGCUGACAACUGUGACUGAUCAAUAAUGACCAACCAUCAGGAGAAGUGUGUGGAGAAGGAUGUAGAGGCUGUCUCCAGGAUCAUCGGGGAAGAUCAUUUGAAAAAAGGGAAGUGUGAGAAAGCCUGGUGGCACAAAGAUCUGACAGAAAUCAAGUCAGUAGCCCAAGCAAGAGACCGAGACAUUGACAGUGCAGAGACACCAUCAAGUUCAAGAGAUGUUUUAGAGACAAGUCAAAUUUGGGGUGAGGUGAGGUAAUGGGACAAUUCAGAGUGAUUCAAGUUUUCUAAAUGAUGGCAGUGGAGGCCCUAUGGAACUGCCACUGCCAUCAAACCAGCUGCAGCAGGGAGGCGUGGCCUGG
Molecule: long non-coding RNA, 540 nt
Organism: Pan paniscus (pygmy chimpanzee)
Lineage: Eukaryota; Metazoa; Chordata; Mammalia; Primates; Hominidae
Source: Ensembl